GUGCUCACUUCGGCAGCAUAUAUACUAAAAUUGGAGUGAUACAGAGAAGAUUAGCAUGGCCCCUGCUCAAGGAUGAUAUGUGUGUGAAAAUGUGUGUAUAUGU
Molecule: small nuclear RNA, 103 nt
Organism: Suncus etruscus (white-toothed pygmy shrew)
Lineage: Eukaryota; Metazoa; Chordata; Mammalia; Eulipotyphla; Soricidae
Source: RefSeq, a predicted model, not a curated record